CUUUCCCUCUUUCUUCCUGCCUAACACAUGCAAGUCGAACGGUAACAGGAAACAGCUUGCUGUUUCGCUGACGAGUGGCGGACGGGUGAGUAAUGUCUGGGAAACUGCCUGAUGGAGGGGGAUAACUACUGGAAACGGUAGCUAAUACCGCAUAACGUCGCAAGACCAAAGAGGGGGACCUUCGGGCCUCUUGCCAUCAGAUGUGCCCAGAUGGGAUUAGCUAGUAGGUGGGGUAACGGCUCACCUAGGCGACGAUCCCUAGCUGGUCUGAGAGGAUGACCAGCCACACUGGAACUGAGACACGGUCCAGACUCCUACGGGAGGCAGCAGUGGGGAAUAUUGCACAAUGGGCGCAAGCCUGAUGCAGCCAUGCCGCGUGUAUGAAGAAGGCCUUCGGGUUGUAAAGUACUUUCAGCGGGGAGGAAGGGAGUAAAGUUAAUACCUUUGCUCAUUGACGUUACCCGCAGAAGAAGCACCGGCUAACUCCGUG
This 490-nucleotide ribosomal RNA is filed under the name uncultured bacterium. RNAcentral describes it as "partial 16S ribosomal RNA". It matches the Rfam family "Bacterial small subunit ribosomal RNA", at positions 36 to 507 of the family's 1533-position model. The record is from RNAcentral.